AGUGAAGCGGCAACAGCUCAAAUUUGAAAGCUAGCCUUCGGGUUCGCAUUGUAAUUUGUAGAGGAUGAUUUGGGGAAGCCGCCUGUCUAAGUUCCUUGGAACAGGACGUCAUAGAGGGUGAGAAUCCCGUAUGUGACAGGAAAUGGCACCCUAUGUAAAUCUCCUUCGACGAGUCGAGUUGUUUGGGAAUGCAGCUCUAAAUGGGAGGUAAAUUUCUUCUAAAGCUAAAUAUUGGCGAGAGACCGAUAGCGCACAAGUAGAGUGAUCGAAAGAUGAAAAGCACUUUGGAAAGAGAGUUAAAAAGCACGUGAAAUUGUUGAAAGGGAAGCGCUUGCAAUCAGACUUGUUUAAACUGUUCGGCCGGUCUUCUGACCGGUUUACUCAGUUUGGACAGGCCAGCAUCAGUUUCGGCGGCCGGAUAAAGGCUCUGGGAAUGUGGCCUCCACUUCGGUGGAGGUGUUAUAGCCCAGGGUGUAAUACGGCCAGCCGGGACUGAGGUCCGCGCUUCGGCUAGGAUGCUGGCGUAAUGGUUGUAAGCGACCCGUCUUGAAACACGGACCAGCAAUGC
This 568-nucleotide ribosomal RNA is filed under the name Rhodotorula mucilaginosa. Its description in RNAcentral is "partial large subunit ribosomal RNA". It matches the Rfam family "Eukaryotic large subunit ribosomal RNA", at positions 92 to 675 of the family's 3401-position model. RNAcentral also lists the same sequence under 1 other name. Lineage: Eukaryota; Fungi; Basidiomycota; Microbotryomycetes; Sporidiobolales; Sporidiobolaceae. The record is from RNAcentral.